AUUUGAGAAGCAUGGAUACCAAGAUAAAGUGCUGGGAAGAUAGGCAAGCUGAAAGCAAUGGUGUAGAGUAGGACUUCACUGCUACUGAAAUAAACUAAAAUCCUUCUAGUCCAGUUUUGCCUUCUGCUGUUGUCUUUCUGCUAUUCAGGAGUCUUCAGAUUUCUUCCCAGUUUUGAAAUCAAGAUUGAUUAACCAACACAAAAAGACCCAGCUGGUUA
Molecule: long non-coding RNA, 218 nt
Filed under: Athene cunicularia (burrowing owl)
Lineage: Eukaryota; Metazoa; Chordata; Aves; Strigiformes; Strigidae
Description: lncRNA (ENSACUG00000008048.1)
Source: RNAcentral